This 614-nucleotide ribosomal RNA is filed under the name uncultured bacterium. Its description in RNAcentral is "bacterial SSU rRNA". The stretch from base 1 to 524 matches the Rfam family "Bacterial small subunit ribosomal RNA", at positions 338 to 873 of the family's 1533-position model. The record is from RNAcentral.
CCUACGGGAGGCAGCAGUGGGGAAUAUUGCACAAUGGGCGAAAGCCUGAUGCAGCGACGCCGCGUGAGGGAUGACGGCCUUCGGGUUGUAAACCUCUUCCAGCAGGGAAGAAGCGCAAGUGACGGUACCUGCAGAAGAAGCACCGGCUAACUACGUGCCAGCAGCCGCGGUAAUACGUAGGGUGCGAGCGUUGUCCGGAAUUAUUGGGCGUAAAGAGCUCGUAGGCGGCUUGUCACGUCGGAUGUGAAAGCUCGGGGCUUAACCCCGAGUCUGCAUUCGAUACGGGCUAGCUAGAGUGUGGUAGGGGAGAUCGGAAUUCCUGGUGUAGCGGUGAAAUGCGCAGAUAUCAGGAGGAACACCGGUGGCGAAGGCGGAUCUCUGGGCCAUUACUGACGCUGAGGAGCGAAAGCGUGGGGAGCGAACAGGAUUAGAUACCCUGGUAGUCCACGCCGUAAACGUUGGGAACUAGGUGUUGGCGACAUUCCACGUCGUCGGUGCCGCAGCUACGCAUAACGUUACCCGUCCGUCGGGAGGUACGGCCGCGACGGACGUAAACGUACGAAGGAAGUUAGUACGGCGUGAGACGUGCCGACGGACGACGACGAGGGAGGAGG